UCCCUGGCAGUCCAGUGGUUAGGAGGCUGUGCUUCCACUUCAGGGGGCCCAGGUUCAACCCCUGGUCAGGGAA
Ovis aries (sheep) is the source of this 73-nucleotide transfer RNA. It matches the Rfam family "tRNA". From Rfam's summary of the family: Transfer RNA (tRNA) molecules are approximately 80 nucleotides in length. Lineage: Eukaryota; Metazoa; Chordata; Mammalia; Artiodactyla; Bovidae. The record is from Rfam.